Molecule: long non-coding RNA, 2914 nt
Organism: Chroicocephalus ridibundus (black-headed gull)
Lineage: Eukaryota; Metazoa; Chordata; Aves; Charadriiformes; Laridae
Exons: 7
Source: RefSeq, a predicted model, not a curated record
CAAGAGGAAGUGCCAGAAUCUUAUUAGGGAAAGAUUGUUGUGCUUUUACUCCCCGAGGAGGUCUGGCGAGAUUAUAAAGACAGCAGCAUGCUCCUGCAGAAGGCUGAGAGGUGGAGGAAGCAGGCAAGAUGGAAAAGUUACUAGGAAGAAGGAAAAGUGUAAAAGAGGUACAGUGCAUGGGAACGUAAGGAGAAAGGAAAUGAGCGAUGAGGGAGAAUGCCAGCAUCUGUCCUCUUGAUACCACCUUGACCUCCAGUGCUGGCGCCUGUAUUUUCCUCCAGUGGAGAUAACAGAGUUUGACUCUCACUGUGAAGAUACCGGAGGCUAUUAACUCACGUGCAGUGAAGAUACGCUAACCAGGAUGGUUAUCAAUUUCCUGCAACAUACUGGUGUCUAGUGGAAGCUGUCCGGAUCCCGCGUCCAGGGGAGCCGACCUGCCGUGACAUGGGGAUCAGUGUUGGAAGUGUCAUACCGCUCGUGCGUCCUCUGCUUCGUACCACUUUCUGACAUAGUCUCGAUCAUAAUUUAUGAAUAGCUGACAGUAUUUUUCGUGCAGGGAUUUGCUGCAGUCCCAAAAGAAGAAUGAAUAGUGUUUCCUCUUUUGACCACAGAGUGAUCUGCUCAUGCAUGCUGUCAGUGGACAUCGCUACUGACCGGCGUCCAGGGAGAAAAAACAUCCGUUGUCCACUCUGUCCCAGCCGCAAGGCCACGUGGCGGCAGAGUGUCCGGCUGGUGGGCAGAACAUGUGACGGGUGCUCAGGGUGUAUCGCUCGGGCAGGGGCUGCACCACGGCUCGCCAGGAGGAACACGCCUGCGGAGGCUCGUGGCCUCUGGGAAUCGAGCGAGUGAUUCAGCCUCGCGGGACCUGACAGUGCUGCCUCUAAACCACAGAUCCCCCAGAGAAGAGAGCUUUCCAUUUAAUAUUAGCAUUCCGAAGACGUCCGGAACUGAAUAAGCCCUUAGAGCUCAAGGGGAACAUCUCCAGUACUAUCCACGGAGAAAACGGGAAUCUCACACAGUUCCAGGUGCUGCCCCACCUUUCCCGUGCCCAGUUCCGCUGCAAACGGGAGCUGUCGGUGCCGGUAAAUACCUCUCACUGCGACGCAGCCUGGAACCCAACACCGGGAAUGAGCUCACGCCAUCCUUGGCGCAAGGAAUUCUGAUACGAGCUUAGCAGGGAUGAAAGGUACUCGAAGCAAUGGGUGAUGACUUAUGAGCACCAUGGGAGGAAGUCAGCCCGCCACGAGGAAAUUUUUCUGCUGUCUAGAUGUACUAAGGAAACACUGCAAAAACAGAGAAAAAGCCAGAGAACUGGAAACUAUAUCUUGGUGUUUUCUUAAAUCAUGUUUGAGUCCACCAUUUUUUGGUUGUAUUACUUUAAAAACCAAACAAACAAGCAAACCCAAAGCAUUUCCUUUUCUUUUGGUCUAUAUAUUGAAUCAUGCACGGCGUGCAUUAUACAGAAUAGCCUGGCCCCAGUUUGGAGUAAAAGGUAAAAGGAGAGGAAGGUCAGCAUUUCACAGCACUGAAUCCUAAGUAAUGCCAGACUGCCUGACAUCACGUAAACUGAGGGAAAGUCUGCAAUAACUUAACUUCUUUUUUUGAAUGAGUGCCUGGUGCUGGAAGGUAUCUCGAGCCAUUGACAAGGAAGGCAUCUCAGGACACUUAGCAUUAUCCAGGCAAUAUUCAACGUCUUCCAAGAUUCAGUGCCUCGGCAGGCAGGAGCAGAGAUGUAGAUUUUUUAGCAUCCAAAAAAAGAAAGGUGAAGGGUUCAUCCCAGUUCUAGGUGGUAUUUUAAAGCUAGCGUGGUUAAGGCAUGCCCAGCGCUGCUGCCAGCAGCUUGCAAACCAUUUACUUUUGAUUUUUCCUGUCUGAAGGCCCAGGUCAGAGUUGGAGUUGGCAUUUAGCAUGAGUGUAGAGGGAGCUUCAAGCUUACCCCUCAUCUGUUUCAUCAUCGGACCAUUCUCUGUAGUCCUCUUCAUUCAGCUUAUGAGAAAACGUUCAUGGGCAACGCCUGGCCCAUUGCAGAUCAAGCGCAGCCACGACACGGCUACGGACGCUGCCGACGCUACGGUCAGUGGAUGUACUGUCGCGCCAAGAAAACAGACAAUUGUUUCUUGCUGCUGCAGAACAUUGAGGAAAUACGCUUGGCAAUGGAGAGAAUUCCGUUGGUUCUGCUGUAGUAAAAGGCUGGUGUAGACUCAGAGUUUCCAUUAGAUAGCAAAGCGUUGCACUGUAGUUGAAACGCUUCGUUUUUAAUGACUAGCGCAACAGUUCAGUGGCUGGGUAGUAAGCCCUAUCACGCGGGCACUCAUCUGGAAAAAUCCACUGUAUUCGUACGAGGAGACCCUCCACCACGAAGCCGCUAUCUGCCCUGAGGCAGGUUCCUUAGUUUUCCCUGUAUGUAAAGUGAGAAUAAUGAUAUUUACUGUCCUUUGUGGGAUGCUUGUUUAUUUAUUACAGCAAUAUGUAUUACUCUUAAGUAUUAAGGAGCCUAUUUCCAACUGACAAAAAAAUUACUUCUUUAGUUUUUAUCAGUGAAAUAUGGUCAGUCAUCCAACAAUUUGCUUCUUUGGCAUACCCUCCACUUGCCGUAAUGAGGAAUAAACCAAGAGUAUAUCUCAAGAAAUAUAUGGUUAGAAACAAUGCUUUUAUGUUUUCCAUAUUUUGUUAUUUUUGCCUCAAAUCACAGUUCAGUUCAGCGUGAUCUGACAUGGCUGAAAGACUGAAACCCCCACUCCUCCGAAGCAGUGUUUAUUAUAGAAACCCACAAACUUAACCUAACCUAGAGCAGCUUUUCCAGCAGUGAUAUAAUUACAGUAGUUAUUGUUGCAAUAAACCAGAUGUUCCUGAACUGGAAUGAAAGCGCUUCCCCCCGCGUUACAUUUGUUACGUUGCCUCUUUUCAAGUUUCA